RNAcentral lists this ribosomal RNA (1893 nucleotides) under Campylobacter coli. RNAcentral's name for it is "partial 23S ribosomal RNA". It matches the Rfam family "Bacterial large subunit ribosomal RNA", at positions 1 to 1758 of the family's 2925-position model. Lineage: Bacteria; Pseudomonadati; Campylobacterota; Epsilonproteobacteria; Campylobacterales; Campylobacteraceae. The record is from RNAcentral.
AAAAAAGGUAAGCUACUAAGAGCGAAUGGUGGAUGCCUUGACUGGUAAAGGCGAUGAAGGACGUACUAGACUGCGAUAAGCUACGGGGAGCUGUCAAGAAGCUUUGAUCCGUAGAUUUCCGAAUGGGGCAACCCAAUGUAUAGAGAUAUACAUUACCUAUAUAGGAGCGAACGAGGGGAAUUGAAACAUCUUAGUACCCUCAGGAAAAGAAAUCAAUAGAGAUUGCGUCAGUAGCGGCGAGCGAAAGCGCAAGAGGGCAAACCCAGUGCUUGCACUGGGGGUUGUAGGACUGCAAUGUGCAAGAGGUGAGUUUAGCAGAACAUUCUGGAAAGUAUAGCCAUAGAGGGUGAUAGUCCCGUAUGCGAAAAACAAACCUUAGCUAGCAGUAUCCUGAGUAGGGCGGGACACGAGAAAUCCUGUCUGAAGCUGGGUCGACCACGAUCCAACCCUAAAUACUAAUACCAGAUCGAUAGUGCACAAGUACCGUGAGGGAAAGGUGAAAAGAACUGAGGUGAUCAGAGUGAAAUAGAACCUGAAACCAUUUGCUUACAAUCAUUCAGAGCCCUAUGUAGCAAUACAGGGUGAUGGACUGCCUUUUGCAUAAUGAGCCUGCGAGUUGUGGUGUCUGGCAAGGUUAAGCAAACGCGAAGCCGUAGCGAAAGCGAGUCUGAAUAGGGCGCUUAGUCAGAUGCUGCAGACCCGAAACGAAGUGAUCUAUCCAUGAGCAAGUUGAAGCUAGUGUAAGAACUAGUGGAGGACUGAACCCAUAGGCGUUGAAAAGCCCCGGGAUGACUUGUGGAUAGGGGUGAAAGGCCAAUCAAACUUCGUGAUAGCUGGUUCUCUCCGAAAUAUAUUUAGGUAUAGCGUUGUGUCGUAAUAUAAGGGGGUAGAGCACUGAAUGGGCUAGGGCAUACACCAAUGUACCAAACCCUAUCAAACUCCGAAUACCUUAUAUGUAAUCACAGCAGUCAGGCGGCGAGUGAUAAAAUCCGUCGUCAAGAGGGAAACAACCCAGACUACCAGCUAAGGUCCCUAAAUCUUACUUAAGUGGAAAACGAUGUGAAGUUACUUAAACAACCAGGAGGUUGGCUUAGAAGCAGCCAUCCUUUAAAGAAAGCGUAAUAGCUCACUGGUCUAGUGAUUUUGCGCGGAAAAUAUAACGGGGCUAAAGUAAGUACCGAAGCUGUAGACUUGCGCACAACUUAGAUUAUUUAAGUUUAGAAUAUGAGAAACUAAGUUAUAUGUUUAGUUAUAUUUUUACUGAUUUUUAUAGAGUAAAGAUAGAAAUAAAACUUAGUAAAAUCAGUAAAAAUAUUCUUAGACUAAAGUUAAGUAGUUUAAGUUGUGUGCAAGUGGUAGGAGAGCGUUCUAUUUGCGCCGAAGGUAUACCGGUAAGGAGUGCUGGAGCGAAUAGAAGUGAGCAUGCAGGCAUGAGUAGCGAUAAUUAAUGUGAGAAUCAUUAACGCCGUAAACCCAAGGUUUCCUACGCGAUGCUCGUCAUCGUAGGGUUAGUCGGGUCCUAAGUCGAGUCCGAAAGGGGUAGACGAUGGCAAAUUGGUUAAUAUUCCAAUACCAACAUUAGUGUGCGAUGGAAGGACGCUUAGGGCUAAGGGGGCUAGCGGAUGGAAGUGCUAGUCUAAGGUCGUAGGAGGUUAUACAGGCAAAUCCGUAUAACAAUACUCCGAGAACUGAAAGGCUUUUUGAAGUCUUCGGAUGGAUAGAAGAACCCCUGAUGCCGUCGAGCCAAGAAAAGUUUCUAAGUUUAGCUAAUGUUGCCCGUACCGUAAACCGACACAGGUGGGUGGGAUGAGUAUUCUAAGGCGCGUGGAAGAACUCUCUUUAAGGAACUCUGCAAAAUAGCACCGUAUCUUCGGUAUAAGGUGUGGUUCGCUU